This 465-nucleotide ribosomal RNA is filed under the name uncultured bacterium. RNAcentral's name for it is "partial 16S ribosomal RNA". It matches the Rfam family "Bacterial small subunit ribosomal RNA", at positions 338 to 795 of the family's 1533-position model. The record is from RNAcentral.
CCUACGGGAGGCAGCAGUGGGGAAUAUUGCGCAAUGGGCGCAAGCCUGACGCAGCGACGCCGCGUGAGGGAUGAAGGUCUUCGGAUUGUAAACCUCUGUCAGCAGGGAAGAACGGUCAGUGGGCUAAUCAGCAGUGAAUUGACGGUACCUGCAAAGGAAGCACCGGCUAACUCCGUGCCAGCAGCCGCGGUAAUACGGAGGGUGCGAGCGUUCAUCGGAAUUACUGGGCGUAAAGCGCUCGUAGGCGGUAUGUCAAGUCAUAGGUGAAAUCCCCGCGCUCAACGUGGGAACUGCAUUUGAAACUGGCAAGCUGGAGUGUGGUAGAGGGAGGUGGAAUUCCAGGUGUAGGGGUGAAAUGCGUAGAGAUCUGGAGGAACAUCGGUGGCGAAGGCGACUAUCUGGAACAUAACUGACGCUGAGGAGCGAAAGCGUGGGGAGCAAACAGGAUUAGAUACCCGAGUAGUC